CCGAGUUUACAACUCCCAAACCCACUUGAGAACCUUACCACCGUUGCUUCGGCGGUGUCGCCCCGGUGCCUAUGCCGCCCGGAACCGUGCGCCCGCCGGAGGCCCUGAACUCUUGUUUUCACCUAUGCGUCUUCUGAGUGGUUUACAAAAUAAAUCA
This 157-nucleotide unclassified non-coding RNA is filed under the name uncultured Hypocreaceae. RNAcentral's name for it is "sequence contains ITS1". The record is from RNAcentral. Lineage: Eukaryota; Fungi; Ascomycota; Sordariomycetes; Hypocreales.